UUGAAACACGUUCUGAACAGUCAUGGCUUUGGUAGAAAGGGCCUAAAAUCGAUAGAAAAAGGUGUUAGAUCAUCAUUUUUUGUUGCUGAGAGAUGCGAUUUGGGCGGAAAAGCUGCUUUUUUGAAGGAAUUUUGCGCUACGCCCAUUGUGAAAUUCUCGCAACUUUGAUCCAUCUUCAUGCUAUUGAUGACGUCAUCAGAAGUUGAUUUCUGAGCGCGGACUCAUUUCGCAGCGUUUUUCGUCGAUUUUUGAUGAAAAAAUGCGCGAAAUCCUGAAGUGCUGCCUUUGCGCCUUCACAACUUUGCUUUAAUGACAUCCGUCUGUAAGCUCAACUAUUAUGAAAAAUUUGUAACGCGGCGAUGAUGACGCGCUCCGGUGCUCUUGUCGUCGCAAACUGGAGGUGUAUCAGUUAAAAAACACAAAGCGGCACUACUUCGGUGGUGAAAUUCAUGUCGUCGGGCUUUGAGAUCGUGCGACUUGCGGAAUUUAAGGUUCCUGUGAACGAAAGUGACCCGUUCUGAUACCGACUCUGGAUGUCAAUCGUCGUCAAAUGUCGUUAGGAGACUCAUUUUCAGCGAAAAAUAGCCUCGUAUCGUCGUUAACGGGGAUUUUUUUGGCAAUUGCGUGCACGGAAUCAGUUCUGAAGGAACAAAAAUCGUUCAAAAGUUGAUUUUUUCGGGGGAAUUUUGAAGGAUGUGAGGACCACUGAGCUCGCUUGAUGACGCAAACCUUACUUGAAUUAAGUAUUAAUUGUAAAUAAAAUUAAAAAAAUUAAAAAAAAAUUGGAAAAAAAA
Long non-coding RNA from Culicoides brevitarsis, 794 nucleotides. RefSeq lists it as uncharacterized. The record is from RefSeq and is a predicted model, not a curated record. The transcript has 2 exons. Lineage: Eukaryota; Metazoa; Arthropoda; Insecta; Diptera; Ceratopogonidae.